Long non-coding RNA from Dermochelys coriacea (leatherback sea turtle), 408 nucleotides. RefSeq lists it as uncharacterized. Lineage: Eukaryota; Metazoa; Chordata; Testudines; Dermochelyidae. The record is from RefSeq and is a predicted model, not a curated record. The transcript has 2 exons.
CGUGACGUGGUGCCUUUAGCGCCCGUGGGUAGAGGAUAAAGGAAGAAAUUCCUGGACCGCUCGACGGAGCUCCCCGGGGCCCGACCUCUUCUGUCGGGACUAGCCCAUGGUAGUUGCCGUAGACGAGAAUGAAGUUUCUUCUCAUGAAUUGGAGGACUCCUGCCCAGCCCAAGGGAUCUGCGAUGAGAGCAGUCUCUGCUACUCUUAUCACAGACCUUAAGAGCCUGCACUGUAAAAAAAAUAAAAACUAUAUGCUUGACACAUUAAGUUUUCUCUACAGACAGCGACAAGCCUGAUGCAUAAAAUAGUCUACAUAAACUACAGACAGCCCAGUAUGCUUGAAAACUUUAUGUGCUGACAUGUCUUUUUAUGACAUCUUUAUUUUAGUUUUCAGGACUCCUUUUAGUU